AUAGCCCAAGAGCCAACCCGUCUCUGUUGCAAAAGAGUGGGAAAAUUUUCAAGUAGAGGUGAUAUACCUAUCGAACUUAGAGAUAGCUGGUUUUUUAAGAAAAGGAUUUCAGUUCUAUUUUAAACUUUUAUGUUAAUCAAAAAUAUACUUGAGUUUAAAAGUUAUUCAAAUAAGGCACAGCUUAUUUGAGACAGGAUACAACCUAAAACCCAGGGUACGACAAACAAAUUUUGAUAAGUGGGCCUAAAAGCAGCCAUCUUUCAGAAAGCGUCAGAGCUUAGUGAUACUAUUUAUUUAAUAACUACACCUACUUCUAACCCCUAUUAACUAUUAAAAAACUCCAUAAAUCUAUGGAAGCUAUUAUGCUAGAACAAGUAACAAGAAAUAGACUUUCUCCAAAAUGUAAGCUUAAGCCAUAAUAGACACCCUACUGGCAAUUAACACUUAUAAAUUUAUUGUAACAACCCCAACAAGAAAACUUUACAUCUUAUAACGUCGACCUUACACCAGC
Molecule: ribosomal RNA, 511 nt
Filed under: Boophis picturatus
Lineage: Eukaryota; Metazoa; Chordata; Amphibia; Anura; Mantellidae
Description: partial 16S ribosomal RNA
Rfam family: Bacterial large subunit ribosomal RNA (bases 1-369)
Source: RNAcentral